This 482-nucleotide ribosomal RNA is filed under the name uncultured bacterium. Its description in RNAcentral is "partial 16S ribosomal RNA". It matches the Rfam family "Bacterial small subunit ribosomal RNA", at positions 29 to 507 of the family's 1533-position model. The record is from RNAcentral.
AUUGAACGCUGGCGGCAUGCCUUACACAUGCAAGUCGAACGGUAACGGGCCUUCGGGUGCCGGCGAGUGGCGCAGGGGGGAGUAAUACGUCGGGACGUGCCCGAUCGUGGGGGGGAACGAGUCGGAAGCUGUGCUAAUACCCCAUACGCUCUCCGAGGGAGAGCGGGGGGCCGCAAGGGAUUUCGCGGACGGAGCGGCCCAUGGGGGAUUAUGUAGUUGGUGGGGUAAAAGCGUACCAAGCCGACGAUCUGUAACUGGUCUGAGAGGAUGAUCAGCCACACUGGAACUGAGACACGGCCCAGACUCCUACGGGAGGCAGCAGUGGGGAAUAUUGGACAAUGGGCGCAAGCCUGAUCCAGCCAUGCCGCGUGUAGGAUGAAGGCCUUCGGGUUGUAAAGUGCUUUUGUACGGAACGAAAAGCCUUAUGUUAAUACAGGACGGUCAUGACGGUACCGUAAGAAUAAGCACCGGCUAACUACGUG